RNAcentral lists this transfer RNA (72 nucleotides) under Pseudopedobacter saltans. RNAcentral describes it as "tRNA-Thr". It matches the Rfam family "tRNA". From Rfam's summary of the family: Transfer RNA (tRNA) molecules are approximately 80 nucleotides in length. Lineage: Bacteria; Pseudomonadati; Bacteroidota; Sphingobacteriia; Sphingobacteriales; Sphingobacteriaceae. The record is from RNAcentral. RNAcentral also lists the same sequence under 3 other names.
GCUGUUGUAGCUCAGUGGUAGAGCACUUCCUUGGUAAGGAAGAGGUCGUGAGUUCAAGUCUCAUCAACAGCU